RNAcentral lists this long non-coding RNA (670 nucleotides) under Nicotiana benthamiana. RNAcentral's name for it is "long non-coding RNA (NBEN_LNC002452)". Lineage: Eukaryota; Viridiplantae; Streptophyta; Magnoliopsida; Solanales; Solanaceae. The record is from RNAcentral.
GUAUAAUGUUUGAAAUCCACAAUGUCAUUCAUCAAACUAGUAGCGACAUCUCUAUCAUUUUUCAUGCACAAUUUUUCCUCGAUCCUCAUUUUAAUAAUACCGUGAGAAAUUUCAAAAUGCUCAACUUUUAUUGUGAAAGGACUGGGGUCUCUCUUUUUGAAGGAGCAACACUGCAGAGAUUAUUUUCGUAAUAGUACCAUGAUGACUAAAAAUAUCGAUAGUUACAUUUAACUGAUAAUGAUAUGUUCUUGUGUGUGUGUAUACAUAUAUUCUUUAUUUUACAGUAAACAAAAAAGGUGAUCAAAAAAUAAAUUAAAGUAAAACUUAAAUGAAGCUGGUGGAGAACUAUAAGUCAAAAAAACACUAUGGGACCAAGCCUGGGUGCCAAAAAUAUUCGGUGACUCAAGUCAAAAUACCCGAUAAGAUAAUUGAGGCGGCACAAGUUGGUUGGGACAGUAGAAGGAUACACCCAUCGACUGUAAAUUUCACGACACUAGAGGAAGUCUACUCAAUUUAGGGGGAAAAACGAGUGCACAGUUUAAAUAGGAACUGGGGGAAACGCCACCACGCAUUAGCAGCAGCUUAAAGGGCACUGCUUUUUCUGGAAACUCCACAAUUCUCUGCCGGAGUCCAAUCGAUGGAAAUAAUUUGCCCAAUCGAUAAGCAGUUC